GGCUCCGUAGCCCAACUGGAAGAGGCGGCGGUCUUAGAAACCGUUCGUUGCAGGUUCGACUCCUGCCGGAGCUA
RNAcentral lists this transfer RNA (74 nucleotides) under Phycisphaera sp. RNAcentral describes it as "tRNA-Leu". It matches the Rfam family "tRNA". From Rfam's summary of the family: Transfer RNA (tRNA) molecules are approximately 80 nucleotides in length. Lineage: Bacteria; Pseudomonadati; Planctomycetota; Phycisphaerae; Phycisphaerales; Phycisphaeraceae. RNAcentral also lists the same sequence under 1 other name. The record is from RNAcentral.